Molecule: ribosomal RNA, 1528 nt
Filed under: Klebsiella pneumoniae
Lineage: Bacteria; Pseudomonadati; Pseudomonadota; Gammaproteobacteria; Enterobacterales; Enterobacteriaceae
Description: bacterial SSU rRNA
Rfam family: Bacterial small subunit ribosomal RNA
Source: RNAcentral
AGAGUUUGAUCAUGGCUCAGAUUGAACGCUGGCGGCAGGCCUAACACAUGCAAGUCGAGCGGUAGCACAGAGAGCUUGCUCUCGGGUGACGAGCGGCGGACGGGUGAGUAAUGUCUGGGAAACUGCCUGAUGGAGGGGGAUAACUACUGGAAACGGUAGCUAAUACCGCAUAANGUCGCAAGACCAAAGUGGGGGACCUUCGGGCCUCAUGCCAUCAGAUGUGCCCAGAUGGGAUUAGCUAGUAGGUGGGGUAACGGCUCACCUAGGCGACGAUCCCUAGCUGGUCUGAGAGGAUGACCAGCCACACUGGAACUGAGACACGGUCCAGACUCCUACGGGAGGCAGCAGUGGGGAAUAUUGCACAAUGGGCGCAAGCCUGAUGCAGCCAUGCCGCGUGUGUGAAGAAGGCCUUCGGGUUGUAAAGCACUUUCAGCGGGGAGGAAGGCGUUAAGGUUAAUAACCUUGGCGAUUGACGUUACCCGCAGAAGAAGCACCGGCUAACUCCGUGCCAGCAGCCGCGGUAAUACGGAGGGUGCAAGCGUUAAUCGGAAUUACUGGGCGUAAAGCGCACGCAGGCGGUCUGUCAAGUCGGAUGUGAAAUCCCCGGGCUUAACCUGGGAACUGCAUUCGAAACUGGCAGGCUAGAGUCUUGUAGAGGGGGGUAGAAUUCCAGGUGUAGCGGUGAAAUGCGUAGAGAUCUGGAGGAAUACCGGUGGCGAAGGCGGCCCCCUGGACAAAGACUGACGCUCAGGUGCGAAAGCGUGGGGAGCAAACAGGAUUAGAUACCCUGGUAGUCCACGCCGUAAACGAUGUCGAUUUGGAGGUUGUGCCCUUGAGGCGUGGCUUCCGGAGCUAACGCGUUAAAUCGACCGCCUGGGGAGUACGGCCGCAAGGUUAAAACUCAAAUGAAUUGACGGGGGCCCGCACAAGCGGUGGAGCAUGUGGUUUAAUUCGAUGCAACGCGAAGAACCUUACCUGGUCUUGACAUCCACAGAACUUUCCAGAGAUGGAUUGGUGCCUUCGGGAACUGUGAGACAGGUGCUGCAUGGCUGUCGUCAGCUCGUGUUGUGAAAUGUUGGGUUAAGUCCCGCAACGAGCGCAACCCUUAUCCUUUGUUGCCAGCGGUCCGGCCGGGAACUCAAAGGAGACUGCCAGUGAUAAACUGGAGGAAGGUGGGGAUGACGUCAAGUCAUCAUGGCCCUUACGACCAGGGCUACACACGUGCUACAAUGGCAUAUACAAAGAGAAGCGACCUCGCGAGAGCAAGCGGACCUCAUAAAGUAUGUCGUAGUCCGGAUUGGAGUCUGCAACUCGACUCCAUGAAGUCGGAAUCGCUAGUAAUCGUAGAUCAGAAUGCUACGGUGAAUACGUUCCCGGGCCUUGUACACACCGCCCGUCACACCAUGGGAGUGGGUUGCAAAAGAAGUAGGUAGCUUAACCUUCGGGAGGGCGCUUACCACUUUGUGAUUCAUGACUGGGGUGAAGUCGUAACAAGGUAACCGUAGGGGAACCUGCGGUUGGAUCACCU